AGUUGGUGUUCUGUGCUGAAGAACUUCCCUUGCAUUAGAGAUGAAAGUGCUUUAGGAGACUCCAGCUUUACCCACAUGGCCUCUUCUCAAAUUCAUUUUACAAGACUGCAAAAAGAAGCCCAACUUCUUUUUCUUGCUGUUGUGAAGCCAGAACUCCAAGUCUCAGACACUGGGAAGUCCUCACAAGGAUUAGCAGCCAGCAAUUACUUCCAUAAACACUUCAGUUGGGAGGACACUGAAUGGGAAUUGGUGCAGGAAUACAGCAGUGGAUAAAACACUUGACAGCAGGAAUUAAUCAUUUCAAAUAGUGAACAAAUCAGCAAAUAAACAUCUUCAGCAUCUGCCUGCAGAUUGUCCCUUGCAGCAGGCUCUUCAAUUUGGGAUCAUCAAUCUAUUUGAUGAAGGUUGGUCUCUCCUCUAUAUUGAAUCAUCAAAUGUUUACUGUCCCUCAGCUUCCCUCCGUUUUUAGAAUUACUCUCAGGAAUAAAAUGAGAAUUCACUGCCAGCUUUGAUGUUUAAGCGUCUCCUGUUGAGCCUGCUAGGCCUGGCUGGAAGACAGAAAAACAGGGUCUGUUUUGAUCCCUGCU
This is a long non-coding RNA of Vidua chalybeata, 587 nucleotides long. RefSeq lists it as uncharacterized. Lineage: Eukaryota; Metazoa; Chordata; Aves; Passeriformes; Viduidae. The record is from RefSeq and is a predicted model, not a curated record. The transcript has 3 exons.